UGGGGAAUAGUCUAGCGGUAGGACACGUGGCCCUGGACCACGAAGGCCAGGUUCGAAUCCUGGUUCCCCAGCCA
RNAcentral lists this transfer RNA (74 nucleotides) under subsurface metagenome. Its description in RNAcentral is "tRNA-Gln". It matches the Rfam family "tRNA". From Rfam's summary of the family: Transfer RNA (tRNA) molecules are approximately 80 nucleotides in length. Their secondary structure includes four short double-helical elements and three loops (D, anti-codon, and T loops). The record is from RNAcentral.